GACGAACGCUGGCGGCGUGCCUAACACAUGCAAGUCAACUUGACUGAAGGAGCAAUCUGACAGUAGAGUGGCGCAAGGGUGCGUAACGCGUAAGUAACUUGCCCAAGGUAAGGAAUAACGUCGAGAAAUCGGCGCUAAUACCUCAUAAUGCAGCGGAUCCGCAUGGAUAUGUUGUUAAAGGUUUACCGCCUUGGGAUAGGCUUGCGUCUGAUUAGUUAGUUGGUGUGGUAACGGCACACCAAGGCUACGAUCAGUAACUGGUCUGAGAGGAUGAUCAGUCACACUGGAACUGAGACACGGUCCAGACUCCUACGGGAGGCAGCAGUGAGGAAUAUUGGGCAAUGCUCGAAAGAGUGACCCAGCAACGCCGCGUGGAGGAUGAAGGUAUUCUAUAUCGUAAACUCCUGUGAGAGCAGACGAAAGACAGAUUAUUAAUCUGGAUGACUGUAUGCUCAGAGG
This 459-nucleotide ribosomal RNA is filed under the name uncultured bacterium. Its description in RNAcentral is "bacterial SSU rRNA". It matches the Rfam family "Bacterial small subunit ribosomal RNA", at positions 28 to 487 of the family's 1533-position model. The record is from RNAcentral.